This is a non-coding RNA of Pelobates cultripes (western spadefoot toad), 202 nucleotides long. Lineage: Eukaryota; Metazoa; Chordata; Amphibia; Anura; Pelobatidae. The record is from the annotation of a GenBank genome assembly.
UUAAAUUGAGGAUAAUUUGACAUGGGGCAAAUAGCCUAAUGAGUGCAUUUAGAAUGCAAAUACAAAAUGCAAUACAUGCUAAAUAACAACCCCUAAAUAAUACUAAAUGUUACUCCAUCAUAAAAGAUAGGUCUUAUAAUACAAAACAUAAAAAUACAUUCGACAUAAAAUUAAUAGCCACCAUCUAAUCGGUGGUAUAGCU